Molecule: ribosomal RNA, 253 nt
Filed under: uncultured bacterium
Lineage: Bacteria
Description: partial 16S ribosomal RNA
Rfam family: Bacterial small subunit ribosomal RNA
Source: RNAcentral
GACGUAGGGCGCGAGCGUUGUCCGGAUUUAUUGGGCGUAAAGAGCUCGUAGGCGGCUUGUCGCGUCGUCCGUGAAAACUUGGGGCUCAACCCCAAGCUUGCGGUCGAUACGGGCAGACUGGAGUACUGCAGGGGAGACUGGAAUUCCUGGUGUAGCGGUGGAAUGCGCAGAUAUCUGAAGGAACACCAGUGGCGAAAGCGGCUUCCUGGUCCAGUACCGACGUUCAGGCACGAAAGCGUGGGGAGCAAACAGG